CCUACGGGUGGCAGCAGUGGGGAAUAUUGGACAAUGGGCGAAAGCCUGAUCCAGCCAUGCCGCGUGUGUGAAGAAGGCCUUCGGGUUGUAAAGCACUUUCAGUGGGGAAGAAAGCCUUGGGGCUAAUACCCUCGAGGAAGGACAUCACCCACAGAAGAAGCACCGGCUAACUCCGUGCCAGCAGCCGCGGUAAUACGGAGGGUGCGAGCGUUAAUCGGAAUUACUGGGCGUAAAGCGCGCGUAGGCGGUCUGAUAAGCCGGUUGUGAAAGCCCCGGGCUCAACCUGGGAACGGCAUCCGGAACUGUCAGGCUAGAGUGCAGGAGAGGAAGGUAGAAUUCCCGGUGUAGCGGUGAAAUGCGUAGAGAUCGGGAGGAAUACCAGUGGCGAAGGCGGCCUUCUGGACUGACACUGACGCUGAGGUGCGAAAGCGUGGGUAGCAAACAGGAUUAGAUACCCGGGAGUC
This 464-nucleotide ribosomal RNA is filed under the name Vreelandella stevensii. RNAcentral describes it as "partial 16S ribosomal RNA". It matches the Rfam family "Bacterial small subunit ribosomal RNA", at positions 338 to 795 of the family's 1533-position model. Lineage: Bacteria; Pseudomonadati; Pseudomonadota; Gammaproteobacteria; Oceanospirillales; Halomonadaceae. The record is from RNAcentral.